This 415-nucleotide long non-coding RNA is filed under the name Lathyrus oleraceus (garden pea). RNAcentral describes it as "Pisum sativum (pea) long non-coding RNA (PSAT_LNC040803)". Lineage: Eukaryota; Viridiplantae; Streptophyta; Magnoliopsida; Fabales; Fabaceae. The record is from RNAcentral.
CAGUCUUACACACUGAAGGUCUCCAGUUCAAUCCUGGGCAGCAACAUAUGUAUUUAUUACUAUUAUUUCAUAUUAAUAGCAUUGUUUGAAUAAUUAAUAUACAUCAUAAGCCUUUCUUUUCUUCCUAUUUUUAAUUUUUGAUCAUUUUAUUUCUAUAUUUUGUUCUUGCUUUUUUUCCAUUGUUUAAAAUAAAUGGUAGAUUCAUUUCAAAAUUAAGAAAAAUAAAUUUCUACAAGUAUAAAAUCUACAUUUGUUGAAUAUAAAAAUAUUUAUUAAUAAAAUAAUUAAAUUAUUAUAUUUAUGUUUUUCUUACUAUUAUUUCAUAUUAAUAUAAGUGUUUCAAUUAUUAAUAUCCAUCAUAUGCCAUUUUUUUCUAUUUUGAUAUUUUAUUAUUAUUUGCUUUCUCUAUUUUGUA